AGUAAAAUGCCUGAAUUUUAAAGGAUUAUCUUGAUAGGAUAAAUUAUGUAUUUAAAUACUUUUACUA
This 67-nucleotide transfer RNA is filed under the name Amblyomma geoemydae. RNAcentral's name for it is "tRNA-Ile". Lineage: Eukaryota; Metazoa; Arthropoda; Arachnida; Ixodida; Ixodidae. The record is from RNAcentral.